Molecule: ribosomal RNA, 445 nt
Filed under: uncultured bacterium
Lineage: Bacteria
Description: SSU rRNA
Rfam family: Bacterial small subunit ribosomal RNA
Source: RNAcentral
AGAGCGAACGCUGGCGGCAGGCCUAACACAUGCAAGUCGAGCGCCCGUAGCAAUACGGGAGCGGCAGACGGGAUAGUAACACGUGGGAACGCGCCCUUCGGUUCGGAAUAACUCAGGGAAACUUGAGCUAAUACCGGAUACGCCCUUACGGGGAAAGAUUUAUUGCCGAAGGAACGGCCCGCGUCCGAUUAGCUAGUUGGUGAGGUAAUGGCUCACCAAGGCGACGAUCAGUAGCUGGUCUGAGAGGAUGACCAGCCACAUUGGGACUGAGACACGGCCCAAACUCCUACGGGAGGCAGCAGUGGGAAUCUUGCGCAAUGGGCGAAAGCCGUGACGCAGCCAUGCCGCGUGAAUGAUGAAGGUCUUAGGUAUUGUAAAAUUCUUUCGACCGGGACGAUAAUGACGGUACCGAGAAGACGCCCGGCUAACUCGUACCAGCAGCCGC